CAAGAGGUAGUUUAUUUUAAAAUAUUAACUUUGGGAGUUAAUGAAAAAGAAUUUCUUUUCUCUUGA
This 66-nucleotide transfer RNA is filed under the name Poecilobothrus nobilitatus. RNAcentral describes it as "tRNA-Pro". The record is from RNAcentral. Lineage: Eukaryota; Metazoa; Arthropoda; Insecta; Diptera; Dolichopodidae.